CUGGCGGCGUGCUUAAUACAUGCAAGUCGAGCGAGAAAGCAUCCUUCGGGGUGUGAGUAGAGCGGCGAACGGGUGAGUAACACGUAAGCAACCUGCCCUCAAGUUUGGGAUAACCUUGCUAACGCGGGGCUAAUACCGGAUGUGGUCACGGAGUCGCAUGGCUUUGUGACUAAAGGUGACCUCUACUUGUAAGUUACUGCUUGAGGAUGGGCUUGCGGCCCAUUAGCUUGUUGGUGGGGUAACGGCCUACCAAGGCGGCGAUGGGUAGCCGACCUGAGAGGGUGAUCGGCCACAUUGGGACUGAGACACGGCCCAGACUCCUACGGGAGGCAGCAGUAGGGAAUUUUGCGCAAUGGACGCAAGUCUGACGCAGCAACGCCGCGUGAGGGAUGAAUGCCUUCGGGUUGUAAACCUCUGUUGAGUGGGAAGAAACGUGGAAGGGUUAAUAUCCCUUUUGCCUGACGGUACCACUCGAGGAAGCCCCGGCUAACUACGUGCCAGCAGCCGCGGUAAUACGUAGGGGGCAAGCGUUGUUCGGAAUCACUGGGCGUAAAGGGAGCGUAGGCGGGGCGGUAAGUCAGAAGUCAAAUCCACAGGCUCAACCUGUGGCCGGCUUUUGAUACUGUCGCUCUUGAGUAUGGGAGAGGGUGAUGGAAUUCCAGGUGUAGCGGUGGAAUGCGUAGAUAUCUGGAAGAACACCGGUUGCGAAGGCGGUCACCUGGCCCAAUACUGACGCUGAGGCUCGAAAGCUAGGGGAGCAAACAGGAUUAGAUACCCUGGUAGUCCUAGCCGUAAACGAUGGACACUAGUUGCUGGGAGAGUCAAUCCUUUCAGUGACGAAGCUAACGCAUUAAGUGUCCCGCCUGGGGAGUACGCUCGCAAGGGUGAAACUCAAAGGAAUUGACGGGGGCCCGCACAAGCGGUGGAGCAUGUGCUUUAAUUCGAUGCAACGCGAAGAACCUUACCUGGGUUUGACAUGGGAGUGAAACUCUCCAGAGAUGGGGAGCCUUCCUUCGGGAACACUCUACACAGGUGCUGCAUGGUUGUCGUCAGCUCGUGUCGUGAGAUGUUGGGUUAAGUCC
This 1082-nucleotide ribosomal RNA is filed under the name uncultured organism. RNAcentral's name for it is "bacterial SSU rRNA". It matches the Rfam family "Bacterial small subunit ribosomal RNA", at positions 36 to 1087 of the family's 1533-position model. The record is from RNAcentral.